RNAcentral lists this unclassified non-coding RNA (300 nucleotides) under Hevea brasiliensis (rubber tree). The record is from RNAcentral. Lineage: Eukaryota; Viridiplantae; Streptophyta; Magnoliopsida; Malpighiales; Euphorbiaceae.
GCCAUUAAAAAAAAAAGUAGAAAAGGCUGUGCUAUACAAAAUUAAGUUAAACGGAACAAUUCACCAAUUAAUUUCAUUCUAGAUUUCUUUUUAUUCUUUUUUACUCUUUACACCAUUAAUAACCUUUUGACUUCAAAAAAAUUCAAGAAUAUGUUAAAAAAACAAAUAAAUCUAAAAACAGCUAAUUAUUAAAACUUCAGAAGUCCAAUGCACGGUAAUCAUUAUAGUUAAGUUAAAGUAAUAGAAAAUACCAAAACCAGAGAUCUAAAAAUGAAAAAUAUUUGUGUGUUAAAUUCGAAC